Podarcis lilfordi (Lilford's wall lizard) is the source of this 72-nucleotide non-coding RNA. The record is from the annotation of a GenBank genome assembly. Lineage: Eukaryota; Metazoa; Chordata; Lepidosauria; Squamata; Lacertidae.
GAGAUGGCUCAGUUGGUAGAGCAUGAGUCUCUUAAUCUCAGGGGCGUGGGUUCGAGCCCCAGACUGGGAAAA